RNAcentral lists this ribosomal RNA (208 nucleotides) under Theileria equi. RNAcentral's name for it is "partial small subunit ribosomal RNA". It matches the Rfam family "Eukaryotic small subunit ribosomal RNA", at positions 536 to 775 of the family's 1831-position model. Lineage: Eukaryota; Apicomplexa; Aconoidasida; Piroplasmida; Theileriidae. The record is from RNAcentral.
CCAGAGUAUCAAUUGGAGGGCAAGUCUGGUGCCAGCAGCCGCGGUAAUUCCAGCUCCAAUAGCGUAUAUUAAACUUGUUGCAGUUAAAAAGCUCGUAGUUGAAUUUCUGCUGCAUCGUGGUUCUUCGCUAUGUCGAGUGAUCUUCGUUGUGGCUUAGUUGGGGCAUGUUUUCAUGACUCGACGUUUACUUUGAGAAAAUUAGAGUGCU